Molecule: long non-coding RNA, 350 nt
Filed under: Capsicum annuum
Lineage: Eukaryota; Viridiplantae; Streptophyta; Magnoliopsida; Solanales; Solanaceae
Description: long non-coding RNA (CANN_LNC018276)
Source: RNAcentral
AGAUGUACUAUGGACUUCUACGAUCAUAACGCAACUUGAAAAUCGGAAAACGGAUGUCGGGAAGGCUUCCAAAUAAAUCCCCGAAGUUAAGGUCUCAAAAUAAAAAUAAGUGUUGGAAUGUUUUUAUCAAAUUUUCAAGAUAUGACUUCUUUCAACUCACUCCGAAGGUUUAAACGUCACAAAAAACAUACAGGGUAUUACAAUAAUAUGCUCAACAAAUUCCUGUGGCAGUAUAUCCUUCAAUCUAUUGACUUCCCACUGCCCUUAUGUUACCACAUCCUUCACUAUGUUAACAUUAUCAUCCCAUUCCUGAUCUUCUCCUUUGAUACUAUAUAAAUCUCCCAUUCCUG